GUAUGGCAUGGCUGCAGUAGCAGUGCAUGUAUUUUUUAAUCUGUAUGACAGAGAUGAUGGAAGAUGUCAUUCAAGGUUGUGAUGCAACCAUUAACCACCGUGAGAGGAACAGCUCCCAGUUAGGAGCAUGUGAGUGCACACUCUCCUGCAUCCUCUUGCUCACGCUCUGACAUCUGGGUUUGAAGAAAAUGACUUAAGAAUAAGUUCCUUACAUCCCUAAAGACAAAGUCAGUUCAGCUAAGAGAGAAAUCUGGAAUGAAUCUGUCCACACUGUUUUCUGGACUGCUGGUGUGAAGCAUCAUUUUUCUUCAGUGUGAUGGGGGUAACAGUUCUUACUCAGUAUUUGAUUCAUAGCUUUCAAUAUGUUUGUGCUUCAUACAGAUUUAACUUUGACUUAUCCUCCCACGUGAAAAAGAGUAUUUAAUUCAUUCACUUGUAGUAGUUAUGCAGCAAUCCUAAAUGACUUUUCAGUCAAACAGAAGUACUUUUUUACAUCCUGAAUUUAAUAUGAGCAGGCCUCUUGACACCUAGUCUAGUUUUUUGUGGAGCAUCACUGCUUAUAAUAAAUGUUGUUUUUUCUCUUCUAAAUGAUGUGAGUAACAAUUCUCUCCCUUGUCUCAUCUCUGCACAGGUCAUGGAUAUUUAGCUGCCAAAUUUCUGUACCUUAGGAAAUUAUGCUUCCAGAACAUCUUGUUUAUAUAUUCCCUAAACUGUUGCACUUGCCUUAAAAUGAUGAAUGCCAGCAACAGCUGGGCUGUAUACGAUUGAAUUUCACUUUGUCUCUAUUCCCAGAACCCUGCUUUCACAUGGAUUCCAGUAAGCAGUAUCUAAACGCACAGGAGUAGGGGUAAAUACACACUCUACACUCUGAGUUCAUUGUGUUUGCCUUGAGAUCUAACUCGUUCUGCAUUUGUAACUUUGAUUAUUUGGGCAUGCGUUCACCUGGACAGGCUGGAGAGUUGGGCUGAGGGGACCCUCGUGAAGUUCAGCAAAGGCAAGUGUACAGUCCUGCACCUGGGGAGGAGUAACCAGUGCACCGGUACAGGUUAGUAAGGGUUGGCCUACUGGAAAAGCUGCCCUCUGGCAAAGGACCUGAGAAUUCUGGUGGACAAAUUGACCAUGAGCCAACAAUGUGCCUUUAUGGCCAUGAAGCCCAGUGGUAUCCUGGAGUACAUUAAAAAGAGUGUGGCCAACAGUUUGAGAGAGGUUCUCUUACCCCUCUGCCCUGGUGAGACCACACCUGGACUAUUGUGUGCAGUUCUGAGGUCUCCAGUUAAAGCAAGACAGGGAACUACCGAGCAUCCAGAGGAGAGCCACGAAGAGGCUGGAGCAUCUGUCUUACAAGUGGAGGCUGAGAGACCUGCGGCUCUUGAGCCUGGAGAGGACUGUGAAGGGAUCUUAUCAGUGCUUAUAAAUAUCUAAAGGGUGCAGAUGGUGAGGGUGGGGCUGGGCUCUCCUCAGUGGUACCUAAUGACAGGACAAGGGGAAGAAGGCACAAACUGGAAUACUGGAGGUUUCACUUGAAUGUGAGGAGAAACGUCUUUACUUUGAGGGUGAUGGAGCACUAAAAGAGGUGGCCCAGAGAGGCUGCGGUGUCUCCUUCUCUGGAGACUUUCAAAACCCAUCUGCACGCAUUCCUGUGCAACCUGCUCUAGGGGUACCUCAUUUAGCAGGGGACUUGACUAGGUGAUCUCCAGGAAUCACUGCCAACCCCUACCUACUGUGAUUCUGCAGCCCUGUGAUGUUGCAGAGUGCUGGAUUUGUUUGCUUUUGUGGCCACCAUGAUUCACCUGACUUUUUUUUUUCCUUUUGGCAGUUGAUUUGGAACUUUUGCUUUUGGUUUUUUGUACACAUGCAUGGAUCUUGCCUUUCUCUGGAGCACCACCAAUAAUGACUUGGAUUGCAAGUAGUGCAGAUCAAGAGUCCCCAGAUAUGUUAGUGGUUGCACAAAGACAAGCCCUUCCUCAUAGGAUGGAUUAAACUCUCCAAAGAGAAGAAAAUGAUGAGGUCUCCCACGUAAAGGUUUGGCCAGACUUCAUCCACGUGGCGCACGGGCUGCGUGCGUGUGCAGAGCAGGCGCCGCAGCUCCUCCAAGGUGUGUGUUGUGGCACCGCGCGGGCUGCCGCCCGUCCCGCUCGAGGCACUCCGUAUCUUCGGGCGCAGUGAGUCCCUGCUGCACGGGGAGUCCCAGGCCAUCCUGGAAGGUGGAGAAGCAGACAUUCACCACCAGGCAGAGGCAUAUCUGCGGUUGUCCUCUCUUCGUCUCGCACUCCCUUAUUCCCUCAACAAGCUUGCCCAUGGUUGCAGCAGACAUUGAGCUGAAGCUUCUACCUCAGGAGACUCC
Long non-coding RNA from Pogoniulus pusillus (Red-fronted tinkerbird), 2344 nucleotides. RefSeq lists it as uncharacterized. The transcript has 3 exons. NCBI's taxonomy places the organism in Eukaryota, Metazoa, Chordata, Aves, Piciformes, Lybiidae. The record is from RefSeq and is a predicted model, not a curated record.